Molecule: ribosomal RNA, 421 nt
Filed under: uncultured bacterium
Lineage: Bacteria
Description: bacterial SSU rRNA
Rfam family: Bacterial small subunit ribosomal RNA
Source: RNAcentral
GAGGAAUAUUGGGCAAUGCCCGCAAGGGUGACCCAGCAACGCCGCGUGGAGGAUGAAUGUCGUAAGAUUGUAAACUCCUGUUAGAGGGGAAGAAUAGUACCGGUUGGACCGGUAUAUGACUGUACCCUCAGAGAAAGCCCCGGCUAACUACGUGCCAGCAGCCGCGGUAAUACGUAGGGGGCAAGCGUUGUCCGGAUUUACUGGGUGUAAAGGGCGCGCAGGCGGGAUAAAAAGUCAGUGGUGAAAUCCUACAGCUUAACUGUAGAACUGCCUUUGAUACUUUUAUUCUUGAGUUCGGGAGAGAGAGACGGAAUUCCAGGUGUAGUGGUGAAAUACGUAGAUAUCUGGAAGAACACCAGUUGCGAAGGCGGUCUCUUGGUCCGACACUGACGCUGAGGCGCGAAAGCGUGGGUAGCAAACA